This 496-nucleotide ribosomal RNA is filed under the name uncultured bacterium. RNAcentral's name for it is "partial 16S ribosomal RNA". It matches the Rfam family "Bacterial small subunit ribosomal RNA", at positions 29 to 507 of the family's 1533-position model. The record is from RNAcentral.
AUGAACGCUGGCGGCGUGCCUAAUACAUGCAAGUCGAGCGAACGGACGAGAAGCUUGCUUCUCUGAUGUUAGCGGCGGACGGGUGAGUAACCCGUGGAUAACCUACCUAUAAGACUGGGAUAACUUCGGGAAACCGGAGCUAAUACCGGAUAAUAUUUUGAACCGCAUGAUUCAAAAGUGAAAGACGGUCUUGCUGUCACUUAUAGAUGGAUCCGCGCUGCAUUAGCUAGUUGGUAAGGUAACGGCUUACCAAGGCAACGAUGCAUAGCCGACCUGAGAGGGUGAUCGGCCACACUGGAACUGAGACACGGUCCAGACUCCUACGGGAGGCAGCAGUAGGGAAUCUUCCGCAAUGGGCGAAAGCCUGACGGAGCAACGCCGCGUGAGUGAUGAAGGUCUUCGGAUCGUAAAACUCUGUUAUUAGGGAAGAACAUAUGUGUAAGUAACUGUGCACAUCUUGACGGUACCUAAUCAGAAAGCCACGGCUAACUACGUG